CAUAGAAUUAGAAUCAGAAACACAGAAACCCAAAAUCUGAAUCCCUGCUAAAAGGGGCCAAAAACUGCGGGCGGAGAUGAGAGGAAUCGGAGGGGGCCCGCCGUUUCAUUGUCCACGCCUCCCUCCCUCUCUCAUCCAUGCACAGCGGCGGCCACUGCCCCGCAGGUGCAAGUGCAAUGGUUCACCUCUCGGUCGCCCCAUUUGUGGGGGCCGAUCGCGGAUCGCCGGCCCGCCCGCAUCACCGUAACGGACGCGGCGCCCCUCUACGACGUCCUCCGCACCACGUUCAUCUCAUCUGUCGAUCUGGACUCUGGUGCGGGCUGCCACUGCCAACGCUAGGUUGGCGCUCGCACACGGAGGUCGCGCACUCGGGCACGUUCGUCCUUGCCGUUGCUAACCUGCACGGCCGGCGACGGCGACUUUGAGUCACGGCCACCUGCUCGACAACCCGAUCCGGAAAUCUGAUGAUGGCACGGUGAGAUCUAGCAAGGGGGACUGUUGCUUGUGCCUGAAACCUGUUCGUUCAAAUGCGUCCUUGUGUCCGGCAAGGCAGUUUAGGUUGAGGGUGUGUUUGCCUUCCUGUGCCCGUCAGGGAAGUUAGUGCUCGUAAAUGGACCGAUGGGGGCAUGGGUGGAUGUAACAUCACUUGCUCGCAUCAAGUGCGGGAGAAGUGGAAACGGUAUACACGAGCACAUAGUCUGGUCAUUUGUCUCAAGUGGUGCUAAUGCUUGUCUUGCCGUUUCGAGUGGAACCAGGAAUCCUGCACCUGUUGGAUGUGGGCUGCCCUGCCCUGGAUGGAUGUAUUUGAGGGCAGGUUACUGUAGUUUGAAACUUUGAAAGGCUAGUGGCGAUAUUGACGUUAUCACUGGAUGAUGGUUGAAGUCUGAAUAUGUAUUGUUUUCCUGUUUCAGGGUUUUGAGUUGUUGACCUGAGAGUGAGAGGGAUGUCAACAGUAUAAGGCAAUCACAAAGGUUCAGGUUUUAGAGACACUAGUGAAUAGCCAGUUUGUGGCUUGGUGCUCGAAUGAAUUUGACACAUAUUUACCGGGUACUCCUGUCACCUAAAAUCCACAGCUCCUGGCUCUAUUGCGACUGUUUUUGCGUGAUCUAUAAAGAAUGCUGCACAGAUUGACAGUCGACGAUUGCUUGGCAUGGAGGUGGCGAGGAAGAUAAAUACAAUGGUCGUCCACAAUAUAAUUCCUUAUAAUGGAACAGAAACUGAAGCUUUGCGGUAGAAAUGCUCAUUAGCAGAUAUGUUCCAGAUAAGUGGUUUCUUGAAGCAUUUAAUAUGCUAUGUGUAGAUGCGCCAAAUCAUGAAUUCUCAGUCUUUACCAGCCAAAAUCAUGUACGGAUAUACUCCCCCGGUCCAAAAUAGAUGCCAUUCUGUCAAGUUGGUUGUUUCCCUUCGUAAAAUUUUCUUCUAAAUGGCCUUUGUUGAAUGUUUAUAGGUAAA
Long non-coding RNA from Oryza brachyantha (malo sina), 1452 nucleotides. RefSeq lists it as uncharacterized. The record is from RefSeq and is a predicted model, not a curated record. The transcript has 3 exons. Lineage: Eukaryota; Viridiplantae; Streptophyta; Magnoliopsida; Poales; Poaceae.